GACGAACGCUGGCGGCGUGCCUAAUACAUGCAAGUAGAACGCACAGUUUAUACCGUAGCUUGCUACACCAUAGACUGUGAGUUGCGAACGGGUGAGUAACGCGUAGGUAACCUGCCUGGUAGCGGGGGAUAACUAUUGGAAACGAUAGCUAAUACCGCAUAAUAUUGAUUAUUGCAUGAUAAUUGAUUGAAAGAUGCUAUUGCAUCACUACCAGAUGGACCUGCGUUGUAUUAGCUAGUAGGUGAGGUAACGGCUCACCUAGGCGACGAUACAUAGCCGACCUGAGAGGGUGAUCGGCCACACUGGGACUGAGACACGGCCCAGACUCCUACGGGAGGCAGCAGUAGGGAAUCUUCGGCAAUGGACGAAAGUCUGACCGAGCAACGCCGCGUGAGUGAAGAAGGUUUUCGGAUCGUAAAGCCCUGUUGUAAGAGAAGAACGGGUGUGAGAGUGGAAAGUUCACACUGUGACGGUAUCUUACCAGAAAGGGACGGCUAACUACGUG
This 505-nucleotide ribosomal RNA is filed under the name uncultured bacterium. Its description in RNAcentral is "partial 16S ribosomal RNA". It matches the Rfam family "Bacterial small subunit ribosomal RNA", at positions 28 to 507 of the family's 1533-position model. The record is from RNAcentral.